Molecule: transfer RNA, 86 nt
Filed under: Rhizobium leguminosarum
Lineage: Bacteria; Pseudomonadati; Pseudomonadota; Alphaproteobacteria; Hyphomicrobiales; Rhizobiaceae
Description: tRNA-Tyr
Rfam family: tRNA
About the family: Transfer RNA (tRNA) molecules are approximately 80 nucleotides in length. Their secondary structure includes four short double-helical elements and three loops (D, anti-codon, and T loops).
Source: RNAcentral
GUGGAGGUAGAGUGGUUGAAUGUACCGCACUCGAAAUGCGGCAUCCUGUAAGGUUAUCGUGGGUUCAAAUCCCACUUUCUCCGCCA